UAAAAACCUGAGUUUAAAAAGCAAAGUGCACCACUGUCACUUAAAUCUGACAAUAUUUUUAGGGCCAGACGUCAGAUUUUCUUGAGCUGAACAGUUAACACUAUGUAGGUCAAGUCUGGACCUCAGGUCCAGUAUCUCUCAAUGGACCCAGCGCAUAAAAUACAAACUAAUUAUAAGACACGUCAAACUGAAGCCCUGUGACUCAAAGAAUAAUUGCUGGAUACGAGUAUCGCCCCACAUCAUCCACUCCAGCUGUGCGUAAAAGCCCUUGUGCGCAACGUGAGCGUUAAUGGACCCCCGUGGCGUAAUGGCGCAACGUCAGGGAAUAAACGCGGGUUUUCUCUAUCUCAGAGAGGUGUAGACUUCCUGCACACAAAUAUAUAUCAUUACCUUUAAUCCAGGCUAAAGGGGUUUAUCGUUUACAAUUUUUACGCUGACACAUUUGGGUGAAAUUACGCACAGUUUUGGAUGAUGGAGCUGGUUAAAGUUGUAUUGGUUGUGCUGCUUCUGACAAAUGUUUACUGUCAAGAAAUGGAUGUUGACAACUGGAGGGACAGAGUCGGAGAGGACAAAUGGCCAAACUCAGGAGUGGUUCAAGAUAUGUUAGUGAGACUGACCAGAAAGCCAGGACCGCGCCAGUAUCUCGGACUCAUGGGGAAGAGAGAUCACGCAAAAACGCAGACAGCACGUAAACGACAUAAAUUCCAAACCUUCGUGGGUCUGAUGGGUAAAAGAAGCUUUGAGGAUCAAGGAGCCCAGUGAGCUGCACAGAUGAUUUGAAGAUCUACAUUUGUUUUCUUUGUUUCAUUUCAGAACAAAAACUAUAUUUUGUUUAGUCAGUCAUUGUUUCAUUAAAAAUGUGACAUACAACAGUGGAUUGUGACACAGCUGCCAACGCUGAGAAGCU
Epinephelus fuscoguttatus (brown-marbled grouper) is the source of this 907-nucleotide long non-coding RNA. RefSeq lists it as uncharacterized. Lineage: Eukaryota; Metazoa; Chordata; Actinopteri; Perciformes; Serranidae. The record is from RefSeq and is a predicted model, not a curated record. The transcript has 5 exons.